Molecule: ribosomal RNA, 316 nt
Filed under: uncultured fungus
Lineage: Eukaryota; Fungi
Description: bacterial SSU rRNA
Rfam family: Eukaryotic small subunit ribosomal RNA
Source: RNAcentral
GNCNGUAUAAAUUUUAUAUCUUGAAACUGCGAACGGCUCAUUAAAUCAGUUAUAAUCUACUUGAUUGUAAAAUCUACAUGGAUAACUGUAGUAAUUCUAGAGCUAAUACAUGCAAAAAAUCCUGACUGUUAUAGAAAGGAUGUAUUUAUUAGGUACAAAAUCAAUGCUGGCACUUGUGUCAGGUUAAUUGAUGAUUCAUAAUAACUAAACGAAGCGCACGACCUUGAGUUGGCGCUGAUACAAACGAGUUUCUGCCCUAUCAACUUUCGAUGGUAGUAUAGAGGACUACCAUGGUUUCAACGGGUANCGGGGAAUA